Sitophilus oryzae (rice weevil) is the source of this 683-nucleotide long non-coding RNA. RefSeq lists it as uncharacterized. The record is from RefSeq and is a predicted model, not a curated record. NCBI's taxonomy places the organism in Eukaryota, Metazoa, Arthropoda, Insecta, Coleoptera, Curculionidae. The transcript has 3 exons.
UUCACUUUAAUUAUGUAUUAGAAAAUCAGUAAUCUUAAAUUAGGAUGCAUCAAUGGAGAAGAAGGCAAUUGUAAUCACAAUACAAUAAUAGAUCUACAAAUACCAAGCAAUACAUUAAAUCAAAAAUCUCAGUAACACUGUUAUUAUGUACUCCCUGUGGUCUUAUUAAUGUCAGCUUAUUAAUAGCUCGAUUACCAGUCAAAUAGUUUCGAUGUUUUCUAUACUAUGAAGAAAAUUUGAUCUGAUUAGAUUAAUUCAGAUGUAAAUUUAUGUUAUACGGUGAAUGUAUCGAGUCAUAUAUUAUGCAGAAUAUAUGGUAAACUAACUAAAAGUGCUAACAAAAUUUCUUAGGAAGUUAUCGAUAUACCUAAUUAUUAGAAGCUGUAACAAAUGUUCAAAGAGUCAGAGUAUACUUUAUUAGAAGUGUGUUAGAUAGAAUUAUACACUUUAAAGAAAAUAUCUUUUAUUAUUGCAGGUAAUGCAUAUUGUGUAAUGCAUAUAAUAUGUGAAAUCUAUUAUUACAUACAAAGAUUGAAAAUUAUUUAAACAGCUACCUGUAUGUUGUCUCACAAUCUCAUUUAGUGAAUGGGUUAUUAAAAAUUGAACAUAUUUACACACAGAAUAUUGUGGAUAUGGAUAUCUGGAAAGCAUGUUAUAACCAUUUUUAUUUUUAGGAUUUAUGA